Molecule: long non-coding RNA, 823 nt
Filed under: Anas platyrhynchos platyrhynchos (common mallard)
Lineage: Eukaryota; Metazoa; Chordata; Aves; Anseriformes; Anatidae
Description: lncRNA (ENSAPLG00000030020.1)
Source: RNAcentral
CGUUGGGCUUAGAGCCUGACAGCUUUGCAAUCACAGAUUAAAAUGGGAAAGCAGAAGCUGUUUCCAGUCCUCUUACAUUCCUCUCAUAACUCUGGCUCCUCGAUGUGGCUGCUGCUGAGCCACUGGGGAAGCAGCUGGGCACACCAGGCUAAGGGAAUCCCGGUAAGAAGAUCAGAUCCCAAAGGAUCCAGUGCUGACCCCUGGUGCUGUGCCCUUCUCCAGGAUCAUCUCUGAGUAGGAAGGCUCCCUAGCGAGAGCACUUGCAAGGUGAAAAAAAAGGCAAUUUUGGCUAAAAGACUUCGAAUCAGCUGCUGACAUGAGUGGGAGUGGAGUGAAUUCAGCGCUCAAGAAAGCAACCACCACCUCGCAGGCUCUGAAAGAACAGUUCACCCGGGAAGAGACCACUGCAGAGAGAGACACUGCUCACAUUUUAGUCCAAAGGAAGGCUGAUGUCUGGAGGAAGAAAAUCUGCAGCUGCCACCUGAGAUUCCCAACUCCUCAAAAAAGUGCAUGCAGUGAAUGGGACUCCAUUUAGUAGGUUUGCAAAACACUGAAAUACUAUGUAAAAUUAAAAUUAACUACAAUAAUAGAUAAAUACUACUUCUUCAAGAGUCCAUAGAUACCCACUCCUGGUUUGAGCAUGCAGACACGAAUUUGGCAUCCUUUUUCCUCUGGACUAUUAAGUGUUCAGGCUCACUAAGCCCUAACAGUUCUUAGAUCCUGUUGGGGUUGGUCUGAAAAAAAAAGAAAAAAAAAAGAAAAAAAAAAGAAAAAAAAAAAGAAAAGAGCAUUCAAUAAAUGUACUGUCUUUAUUGUUUUGUCA